This is a non-coding RNA of Struthio camelus australis, 2705 nucleotides long. NCBI's taxonomy places the organism in Eukaryota, Metazoa, Chordata, Aves, Struthioniformes, Struthionidae. The record is from RefSeq and is a predicted model, not a curated record.
CCCAUCCGCACCAGGGGCUGUGGCAGUGCAGUGAUGCAGGUCUUGGGCCACUAAGGUAAUAUCCAGCUUGGAGAUCUCUCCCCAGGACAUGUCCAAGAGCUUCGGCUAAGAGACCGGUACUUUUGGCUAAUUUUCAGGUGUCAUUAGAGGAACAGGCAAGCGGCAGAAGUGGGAACGCCCAGGUCUCAACUCAGUCCUGUCCCUUAGCCACCGAUUAAUGCAGGCUGCGUGCUGCGGUUUGACAGCUCCAAAGAUCUGAAUUUCCCUGUCAAAUAGCAUCUAAAGUGCAGGAGAUGUUGCUCUACCUGUUAUACAUAUUUAUAGGAGCAUGCUGGGUGUCAGUAGCACUACGUCUAGAAUUUAAAUAAAGAGAAGGAAACGUGGCUGUGGUUUGGCCCAUCUCCCCUUGGGGAGCCAAAUACCGUGUCAUGCUGUAACGCAGGAGAGACCACAGAACAGCCCAACUUCUCGUUUAUUGUCCUGCGUUGCUCUACUUGGUAUUUGAUUUUCCUUUUACAUCAGAUUAUGGCAUAUCUUCACUUUUUACACAGUCCUGACUUGCCCCCUGUCCUGGCAGCUAAGGAAAUCUUGGUGCUAAGGAGAGUGCUGGCAAAUUCAUGCCUGCGCGAGACCCUGAAAAGUCAUUGCUCCGCUCGUGGGCUUCCCGGAGCGUUACAAGGCUUAAUGUAACUGCUGGGUAUUUUCUUUGCACACGGUUGCUGCAGUUUGGUUUGCUUUUUCAUUCAAAAAUAUUAUUCAGUUCUUUGGCCGUGAGCUCAGCUCUUGGAAGUGCCUUUGACUAUGCCGUUAGCUAGAGAUGUUGCUGUCGCUACUGUUGCUGGGGUUUUUUUUUUGUUUGUUUGGGGUUUUUUUUGCUUCCUUCCCCGUAUGAGCAGAGUGAUGAGGAAGGCCUACUCUGCAUUUUUUCCCACAAGAGAAAAUAUAGAGGUCCCUAACAAAAAGGCAGCAGCCCUGCAGCCCACCCCGUGAAGGACACCGCUCCACAAAGUGCUCCUGCUUCCCCAGGGAAGGCUAGGAGGUUUUGUCAAAUUAAAAUUAGGUGAAGUUAGGUAAAAUUUGCAAAAAUUAAAACGAGGACCAUGGAAAAGGCAGAAGGUCAAACGAAGGCAAUGCUGGCGGGUGUCUGCCAGCGCUAGCGGGGAUGCCAGAAGGCAAACAUUGCUCCGGGCUGCGGGACCAAAGUUCGAGGCGAGCUUUCAGCGUGACCUUUCGUACAGCCCCAGAGGCGGUUUCCCCACACAGAGACGCGCCAUUGAGCAAUACGGGGAUUUGCAAACUCGCGGAGGCCUCGGUGACUCUUCGGCCCCUUGGUUUUGUAUUAACGCCACGUCCGCGUGACGCAGCCCCGUACCAGCCCCGCCGCAGCUCCGGCGCGGAGUCGGGCUGAGCUGGCCCACGGGCGCCUGCCGGCUCUUUCAGGUUAUGAAGUACUUGUUUAACAGCACUGGCCAGUCCCAUGUGCUGAAGCUGGCAAGUAAAGCUUCCCCAAAGGGCAACGGCUUCCCAGCAGAAACUGCGUUUAGCUUUGGUGCCUGCCUUACUCGCAAGGACGAGACCUCUAGCAGGGCAGAGGGCAGGUUGCUCAUAGCUCCAAAAUAAGAGAUGCCGUUUUUGAGGUUCUUUUAAAAAUAAAAAAUGGAAGAUUCAUCAUUUCUUUGGUCUGACUUCCUCUGCAGUUAGUCAGAAAUCGCCAGGAAAUGCCGCCGAAGGAAAUCCUUCCAGCCCGCGUGGCUGGCACGAGGCGGAUGAGCCGCGGACGGAUGGCACAGGAGGCUCCCAGCAGCGAGCGAACGGGCAAGGCCGCAGGCGCAGCCAGCAAACAGCAAACCGGGGCUCGGCACGUAGAGUAGAAAUGACAGGGAAACAAAAAAAAGAGGGAUUGCCACAGACAGAGCUCAUCCAGAAUCUGAUUUUUACACAAUACAAAAAUCUGGAAUAACUGUAGUAAUCUCACUGAGUUUUUUCCAGGUUUAUAUAUGUCACACAAGCACCUUGUAUGAUCCAUUCGCCUCUUCGAUUUUACUUUUCUCUACACAGUGUGAUCAUCUCAAAUGACAUUUAAUGCUUACUUAAUAGCCUUAUUUAUAUUGCAGACUUGCCCUGUGGCCCUGCUAGCUGGUGACCGCACUGUUACUCCCUGCAGAGCUUACAGCUGCGCUGGCUCAAAAAGCGGAUGCAAGUUUGCUGUCUCCAGGCUCCCUGGAUCAGGUUGGGGGAAACGGAAAUUGUCCUGCUCCUUUAUCAGGCAACAUCCCACCCUGGAAGUAUUGAAUGUUAGCAGUCUACAAGCAGGAACAGGAAACUUCCCUGCGCAGCGGUUCAUAGUCGGUGCAUCCUUACCACUGUUGUUUUCAGUGCCGUGAUUUUGCUCACACCUCCUGGGGCGCUGGUGAGCUGCACACGAACGCCUCGGGGCUUGUCAAGGCAACAAAGAGGAACCACAGCAGUCGCCUCCUUACUGAUCUCCCAUUUCUACUUGUGAAACUUUUCUGGAGGAAGUGGUAGAUUUUUAGCUGUCAUUUGGCGUCAUUUUCAUGGAACUCUGCAAAUAGAUUGUUGUGCCCCAUUGAUGAAGAAAUGCAGGCAAUUUUUUUUUUUUUAAGUACACAAAAUGCUGUUGCUAUAGAUCAUAUUUUGUCAAGGGAUGAUACUAAAAGAUGGUAAAAUUCAACAGUAUUCCUCUC